Long non-coding RNA from Drosophila mauritiana, 627 nucleotides. RefSeq lists it as uncharacterized. The transcript is spliced from 3 exons. Lineage: Eukaryota; Metazoa; Arthropoda; Insecta; Diptera; Drosophilidae. The record is from RefSeq and is a predicted model, not a curated record.
UGGAAAGUAUGUAGCAGGCAGAAGAAAGCGUUUCCAUAUAAGGUAUACAUUCUUGAUCAUGAUCAAUGUUUUGAUUUUUCUUCGUUUUAUUGCUGGUCUUGCCAAUUUCGAUCGGUAUUGGCCACGGGUGGAGGGGCGUGGGACACCUACAAAACGCUAAAACGGUCACGCCCACACUCUUGAUAAAUUUUUUAAUAUUUUCUCAUAUUAUUUAUCUUUAUCCCAGAUAUCCUACAACAUUCUCUCAUGUUUUUAAUAUUCACUCUUUCACCUUCUGCUAUAGUUAUGAUCGGACUACCACAAAAGAUUAAAAUUUUUUCGUGUUGCUUGGUAUAUAACAUUAGGACCUAGAUCGACUGUGAGCAGGGGUACCUCCAGGGGAGUAAAUCUCUCAACAGCUAAAACAAGCUAAAAGGUAUUGGUAUUGGCUUAAAGAGUGUUGACACCAUAAACAACCUGCCAUCAGCUGGAAUGAAGACGUGUGAAACAUAUUGAGUGAAAUCACUAGCGUUAGACAUGCGGAAGCCAUAUCUACUUGGCUAUAUCCACCCAUAAUUAAAACACCACCAAACCUGGGGAAGUAAUGCACAUGAGUUGGCCACACAUCGCGAAACUGCACAUAUCCUG